AACGAACGCUGGCGGCAUGCCUAACACAUGCAAGUCGAACGCGUGCAGCGAUCGACGAGUGGCGCACGGGUGAGUAACGCGUGGGAACCUGCCCUGGAGUGUGGGAUCACCCGGAGACAGCCGGGCUAAUACCGCAUCCGACCUGAGGGUGCAAGCUUUAGCGCUCUAGGAGGGCCCCGCGUCGGAUUAGCUAGUUGGUGAGGUAAUGGCUCACCAAGGCGAUGAUCCGUAGCUGGUCUGAGAGGAUGAUCCGCCACACUGGGACUGAGACACGGCCCAGACUCCUACGGGAGGCAGCAGUGGGGAAUAUUGGACAAUGGGGGCAACCAUGGUCCAGCAAUGCCGCGUGGGCGAUGAAGGCGUUCGGGUUGUAAAGCCCUUUUGCACGCGACGAUGAUGACGGUAGCGUGAGAAGAAGCCCCGGCUAACUUCGUGCCAGCAGCCGCCGUAA
This 451-nucleotide ribosomal RNA is filed under the name uncultured bacterium. RNAcentral describes it as "partial 16S ribosomal RNA". It matches the Rfam family "Bacterial small subunit ribosomal RNA", at positions 28 to 523 of the family's 1533-position model. The record is from RNAcentral.